This 253-nucleotide ribosomal RNA is filed under the name uncultured bacterium. RNAcentral's name for it is "partial 16S ribosomal RNA". It matches the Rfam family "Bacterial small subunit ribosomal RNA", at positions 524 to 776 of the family's 1533-position model. The record is from RNAcentral.
UACGGAGGGUGCAAGCGUUAUCCGGAUUCACUGGGUUUAAAGGGUGCGUAGGAGGGCAGGUAAGUCAGUGGUGAAAUCUCCAAGCUUAACUUGGAAACUGCCGUUGAUACUAUCUGUCUUGAAUAUUGUGGAGGUGAGCGGAAUGUGUCAUGUAGCGGUGAAAUGCUUAGAUAUGACAUAGAACACCAAUUGCGAAGGCAGCUCACUACACAAUCAUUGACUCUGAGGCACGAAAGCGUGGGGAUCAAACAGG